ACGUAGGUGGCGAGCGUUGUUCGGAUUUAUUGGGCGUAAAGGGUUCGUAGGUGGUUUGCUAAGUCUGACGUGAAAUCCCAUGGCUCAACCAUGGAACUGCGUUGGAGACUGGUGAACUUGAGUAUUGGAGAGGUAAGCGGAAUACCAGGUGUAGCGGUGGAAUGCGUAGAUAUCUGGUAGAACACCGAGAGCGAAGGCAGCUUACUGGACAAAGACUGACACUGAGGAACGAAAGCGUGGGGAGCAAACAG
This 251-nucleotide ribosomal RNA is filed under the name uncultured bacterium. Its description in RNAcentral is "partial 16S ribosomal RNA". It matches the Rfam family "Bacterial small subunit ribosomal RNA", at positions 525 to 775 of the family's 1533-position model. The record is from RNAcentral.